RNAcentral lists this long non-coding RNA (399 nucleotides) under Stegodyphus dumicola. Its description in RNAcentral is "uncharacterized LOC118200662". Lineage: Eukaryota; Metazoa; Arthropoda; Arachnida; Araneae; Eresidae. The record is from RNAcentral.
UGUGUCAAAGGAGAAUCAUUGCCCGGAUGAUUUUUUUACAAAGUCCGGAAGUGAAAAAUUUGACUUUUCUACGCCAGAAGUUACAGCUAAUGUUCCUAAGACAAACCAGGCUUUCCUGAGUUCUGAUCUGGACAUUUCAGUUAUUGACUCUGACGUAGAAGGUAGAAAUACAAGCUCUCUUUUGGGGUAAAUAUGUAUUUCUCUAUGCCAAAAUUAAAAUGUCAUCAUUUAUGUUUUUCUUUUAUGGUGUUACAUUAUGUUGUUUACAUACUGAUAGCUAUUAAAACUGUUAAAUAUAAUAUUGUAGCUAUCAAAAAGAGGGGGAUGAAUUUGAUUUGUACCAAAUUUGGACGUUUUGCAUGAAAGAACUUGAAAAUAAAAGAUUUUUUUAAAAAUAUA